RNAcentral lists this long non-coding RNA (313 nucleotides) under Taeniopygia guttata (zebra finch). RNAcentral describes it as "lncRNA (ENSTGUG00000018813.1)". The record is from RNAcentral. Lineage: Eukaryota; Metazoa; Chordata; Aves; Passeriformes; Estrildidae.
AGAUUUUGUUCUCCAACAGGGGCUCGUUUCCUGAUAGGACAGGUGAGGCUGGGCCAGAAGACUUCUGUAAAGAGCUGCUCAGCUUUUUUGAAAAAGGAGGGCAGAGCUUGAUGCUGGAAAGGAGAGCUCCUGAAAUGCAGAGCCAAGUUCCCUGAGAAAUACUCCCAUUCAUCUCAGAGCAAAGUUUGAGGACACUGCUGAAGAGCCCAGACCUGCACACAGCUGCAUUUCAGCAGCUGAAGUGCCAGCAGUAUCCCAAUAUCCUGCCUUCAUACUGAGAAAUGUUCUGGAACGUGUGAUUUGUACACCAUGA